CUCUCAAAUGUUCCGCCAGGCAGCGGGCGGGCGAGGCGGAUAUCCUGGGGGUGAGGUCCUUCAAAGACGAAAUCUUCAACUGGCCGUAGUUGGCGGAGCCACUACACGCAGGCUGUGGCGUCCUUGAGGAGGGGCUACUUUGUUCAGAGCCACAGACUUCUCAUCUGCAGAAUGAGCUCCCACCGGCAGCCAGAGGCAUCCAUUUGCCUUCCUGGGAUCAGGAUUGUUACAGCAGGAGCUCAAGGGAAAAAGCUGAUGUCCAGCCUCAGACCUUCAGAUCCGAAGUUGAUGUCCAGCCUCAGGAUUUCUGAGUCCUUCUCAAGGAAAUGGUCAUGAAAACCUGAGUUAUUUAAAACAACUGCUUCACAGAGUCAUUGGGAGUAUUACAGGUAAGAGCAGAUGUAAAGCAACCAGCACAACGCUUGGCAGGAAGUCCAUGCUCACGCCUCCGCUGCAGGACCCCAGGGGAUUGCCUUUGAGAAGAUGAUCCAUAAGGAAGGUAUUUCCCCUUUGGGAGUACUUGGGCCCACAAGAGGCGCUUAAGUCAAAGGCACUAAAGUUAGAAAAAGGGUGGGAUAAGCCUUUCAAGUCCAAGGACUUAAAGAUCCUCCUAGAGAGGGAGAGACAGGGGGGAAACGAUUGGGUCCAUGGUGAAGUGGGUGACUUGGCUGUGCUGAGGAUGCAUUCUGGGGUCAGCAGUGGCUUGAUGGGCCCGAGUCUGUGGACAGGGGAAAGGGUGAUCUUGGCCAGGAACCAUCAUGGGGCCUGGAUUAGGGUCUGGACCAGCAGUCUCCUGUGGCUGUCUGUUGCAGGGGAGACCCACCCAGGCAGGCACCCCUCUAUGCUUGGCUCCUCAGUCGUAGCUAUGCUUGGGGCAGUCACUACUAGUCUUCACUUCACUAUAUAAGCUGGAUCUUUAUUCACCUCUGCCCUUUGGUGAUGCUGCUGGCAAUGUUCUAGCCAAAUCCAGCCUGCAGACCUAUUUUGCAAGACUUUGACCUCCUCUCACCAAGAGGUGGGGGUCUAUGUACCCCUUUCCUGGAAUCCAGGUGGAUCUGUGGCUGCUUUCACCACUAGAGCAUUUUGGAAGUCCCGCUAGGGGACUAGAGACUAGAUCACACAAGGCCAUGCAGCUUCCACCUGGCUCUCUUGCAGUCCUCACUCUCUGGAUACUCUGUCUCGGAACCCAGCCACAUGCUGUGAGAAGCUCAAGCCACAUGGAGAAGCCACGUGUAAGCGCUCCAGUGGACAGUCCCAGCCUUUGAGUCAUCCCAGUCCAGGCACCAGCAGAGAAGCCUCCAGAUGACUCUAGCCCCAGCCAUUUGAAUCUUCCCAGCUGAAGCCCCAGACAUCAUGGAGCAGAGUCAAGCUGUCCCCACAGUGCCCUGUCCAGACUUUUGACACAAGGAAUCUGUGGACAUAAUGAAAUGGUUGCUUUACGUCACUAAAUUUGGAGUCACUGUUAGGUGGAAAUACUCACUAGAAAAUUGUGCUUUAAAAUUUUUUGAUUCUGUUGCCAGCUUUUAAAAUUGGGAGAUUUCACAUACAAAUUUGGGGUUUGGGCAAAAGAGAAAUCAGAAAAUCUGGCCAUGUUGGCAUCCCUCAUUGGCAAAAACUGGUCAGAACUGCCCUUUUGAGAAGGUAUACGGGUCUCCUAUCUACCAUGGCCUCCACAUGGCUAGAUCUGCUUGUUUAGGUCACCUGUCUGGUCCUAAUGGGCAUAUGGGUGUGGUGGCCCUGGGACUGGACCAUCCUAUCCCCUUGUGAGGUGCCCCACACCUAAGGAUUUUUCCUUCCUCAUGAUGGCUGGUGUAUCCCUGACUUCUAUGGGUACCCCAUUUUUGUUCCAUGAACCCACCAGACCAGGCAGGGUUCUACCCUUUUGUCCGCUCAGAAAACUGUUUAUGUGAAAUAAAAACCAGGCAGGGGCUGGGGGUGGUGAUGGCUGUGUCUGGAGUUUGCUUGUCCUGUAAACAAUUUCCUGGUGAUAAUCUUUCCAAUUAUCCUCCAAGCUGGAACUUCUACGUGAAAUCAAGCUGGGUGCCCUUGGCUUAUCCUGUACAUCUUGGAGUGAUUAAGAUCUGGCUUUAUAUUUCAGGGUGAGGCCAGAAUUUCCAAGAUCCUUGACACAGACAUAAAGAAUCAGGGUAAUAUAGAAUCUUAGAAACAAAUACAGGGCAGAUUAUAGACUCGUACAACCAACAAGGCUCUUAAAAGUCAAUCUAUCUUUGCACAAAGCAUAGUUGAGCCGGGUAAAAAUUCCAGGAACUAUAACUUUAUUUUUCGUGGCCCAAACUUAAUUUAUUAGCUCCUGCUAAUACAGGGAGCAAAGACAAUUAAUUAAUUAAUUCAACAAAAGUUUAUCAAGGGCCUCUAUGUACUAGGUAUUUUCUUUUUUUUUAGAGGGGGUAGGAAUCUAACCAUGAUGUGUCAGAUAAAAACUUCUGCCACCAUGAAGUUUAAUGUACAUUCCAAUGGAAGGCACAGAUGAAAAUAAAAAAACAAACAAACAAAAAAUACCCCAUGAUAGGAUGUCAUAAGUGGUGAUAAGUGCUUUGAUUAAAAAAAAA
Sus scrofa (pig) is the source of this 2570-nucleotide non-coding RNA. The record is from RefSeq and is a predicted model, not a curated record. NCBI's taxonomy places the organism in Eukaryota, Metazoa, Chordata, Mammalia, Artiodactyla, Suidae.